This 292-nucleotide ribosomal RNA is filed under the name uncultured prokaryote. Its description in RNAcentral is "partial 16S ribosomal RNA". It matches the Rfam family "Bacterial small subunit ribosomal RNA", at positions 505 to 796 of the family's 1533-position model. The record is from RNAcentral.
GUGCCAGCCGCCGCGGUAAUACAGAGGGUGCAAGCGUUAAUCGGAAUUACUGGGCGUAAAGCGCGCGUAGGCGGCUUGAUAAGAUGGGUGUGAAAUCCCCGGGCUUAACCUGGGAACUGCAUCCAUAACUGUCUGGCUAGAGUACAGUAGAGGGUGUUGGAAUUUCCUGUGUAGCGGUGAAAUGCGUAGAUAUAGGAAGGAACACCAGUGGCGAAGGCGACCACCUGGACUGAUACUGACGCUGAGGUGCGAAAGCGUGGGGAGCAAACAGGAUUAGAAACCCCGGUAGUCC